CUUUGGAAACUAUUGAUAAAUGCAAGUUAAGUGUGGCUGAGGCAGUUACAAAAGUUUGAACAGAAGUCAUGGAGAUUUAAAAAAAAAUCCUCAUUCUGAUUGCUUUGCAAGUAUCUUUGAAGUCUUACUUCAUUUACUAAAGUUGUAAGCAGAGACCUCAGCACAAUGUUGUAGGUAUAGUCUAACACACGAAAGGGCUCAUGAAUGCCAGUAGGACCCAAGCACACAGGAUGAUGUGCAUUUGCAUAGGUUCCAUAGUUCUCUGAUUCUAUCAGUUUCCAUUAUCCUCAGAAUCAUAACUCCAGAUGACAGGAAAGAAAAGACUUUUACUGAUGGAUGCGAGCGCCUGUCGGUCUAAGGCGUUCACAACGUCAGCCGCGGUGGGCAUGUCGGGAUACCUACGCACAAGGACAGCCAAUUAGCUCCCUGACAUCAGCUUGUAUUGACAGGAGUAAGGAACAUACAAGACUCGCCAAUCAAUGAUAUCUGAACAAAUCUAAGCCCCAGGAACUUAACUGAAUCUACGGCAGUAAAGUAACUACUUGUGGGAUAGUUGAAGGCAGAAAGUCUAUAGGAGAAAAUAUUGAUCAGUUUGCACUCACAAAAAACUAGAAUAAUCUUAAUGGCAAUAAUGUAUCAUGUCAAAUUUUGUAAUAUUAUCUCUGUCACCCAUGACAAAGGUCACCAUAAAAUAGACAUACAAUAUUGAACAAGUCUAAAUAAAAUCUCAGA
Heterocephalus glaber (naked mole-rat) is the source of this 732-nucleotide non-coding RNA. Lineage: Eukaryota; Metazoa; Chordata; Mammalia; Rodentia; Bathyergidae. The record is from RefSeq and is a predicted model, not a curated record.